AUGAACGCUGGCGGCGUGCCUCAUCCCUGCAAGUCGCGCGAACAGACGAGGAGCUUGCUCCUCUGACGUUAGCGGCGGACGGGUGAGUAACACGUGGAUAACCUACCUAUAAGACUGGGAUAACUUCGGGAAACCGGAGCUAAUACCGGAUAAUAUAUUGAACCGCAUGGUUCAAUAGUGAAAGACGGUUUUGCUGUCACUUAUAGAUGGAUCCGCGCCGCAUUAGCUAGUUGGUAAGGUAACGGCUUACCAAGGCAACGAUGCGUAGCCGACCUGAGAGGGUGAUCGGCCACACUGGAACUGAGACACGGUCCAGACUCCUACGGGAGGCAGCAGUAGGGAAUCUUCCGCAAUGGGCGAAAGCCUGACGGAGCAACGCCGCGUGAGUGAUGAAGGUCUUCGGAUCGUAAAACUCUGUUAUUAGGGAAGAACAAAUGUGUAAGUAACUAUGCACGUCUUGACGGUACCUAAUCAGAAAGCCACGGCUAACUACGUG
Molecule: ribosomal RNA, 496 nt
Filed under: uncultured bacterium
Lineage: Bacteria
Description: partial 16S ribosomal RNA
Rfam family: Bacterial small subunit ribosomal RNA
Source: RNAcentral